Molecule: ribosomal RNA, 1342 nt
Filed under: uncultured bacterium
Lineage: Bacteria
Description: bacterial SSU rRNA
Rfam family: Bacterial small subunit ribosomal RNA
Source: RNAcentral
GAUGAACGCUGGCGGCGUGCUUAACACAUGCAAGUCGAACGGUGAAGCAGAGCUUGCUCUGUGGAUCAGUGGCGAACGGGUGAGUAACACGUGAGCAAUCUGCCCCGGACUCUGGGAUAACAGUUGGAAACAGCUGCUAAUACCGGAUAUGAGACGUGACCGCAUGGUCGACGUUUGGAAAGAAUUUCGGUUCGGGAUGAGCUCGCGGCCUAUCAGCUUGUUGGUGAGGUAAUGGCUCACCAAGGCGUCGACGGGUAGCCGGCCUGAGAGGGUGACCGGCCACACUGGGACUGAGACACGGCCCAGACUCCUACGGGAGGCAGCAGUGGGGAAUAUUGCACAAUGGGCGGAAGCCUGAUGCAGCAACGCCGCGUGAGGGAUGACGGCCUUCGGGUUGUAAACCUCUUUUAGCAGGGAAGAAGCGAAAGUGACGGUACCUGCAGAAAAAGCGCCGGCUAACUACGUGCCAGCAGCCGCGGUAAUACGUAGGGCGCAAGCGUUAUCCGGAAUUAUUGGGCGUAAAGAGCUCGUAGGCGGUUUGUCGCGUCUGCUGUGAAAACCCGAGGCUCAACCUCGGGCCUGCAGUGGGUACGGGCAGACUAGAGUGCGGUAGGGGAGAUUGGAACUCCUGGUGUAGCGGUGGAAUGCGCAGAUAUCAGGAAGAACACCGAUGGCGAAGGCAGAUCUCUGGGCCGUAACUGACGCUGAGGAGCGAAAGGGUGGGGAGCAAACAGGCUUAGAUACCCUGGUAGUCCACCCCGUAAACGUUGGGAACUAGUUGUGGGGUCCAUUCCACGGAUUCCGUGACGCAGCUAACGCAUCAAGUUCCCCGCCUGGGGAGUACGGCCGCAAGGCUAAAACUCAAAGGAAUUGACGGGGACCCGCACAAGCGGCGGAGCAUGCGGAUUAAUUCGAUGCAACGCGAAGAACCUUACCAAGGCUUGACAUAUACGAGAACGGGCCAGAAAUGGUCAACUCUUUGGACACUCGUAAACAGGUGGUGCAUGGUUGUCGUCAGCUCGUGUCGUGAGAUGUUGGGUUAAGUCCCGCAACGAGCGCAACCCUCGUUCUAUGUUGCCAGCACGUAAUGGUGGGAACUCAUGGGAUACUGCCGGGGUCAACUCGGAGGAAGGUGGGGAUGACGUCAAAUCAUCAUGCCCCUUAUGUCUUGGGCUUCACGCAUGCUACAAUGGCCGGUACAAAGGGCUGCAAUACCGUGAGGUGGAGCGAAUCCCAAAAAGCCGGUCCCAGUUCGGAUUGAGGUCUGCAACUCGACCUCAUGAAGUCGGAGUCGCUAGUAAUCGCAGAUCAGCAACGCUGCGGUGAAUACGUUCCCGGGUCU